RNAcentral lists this ribosomal RNA (803 nucleotides) under uncultured bacterium. Its description in RNAcentral is "bacterial SSU rRNA". It matches the Rfam family "Bacterial small subunit ribosomal RNA", at positions 93 to 895 of the family's 1533-position model. The record is from RNAcentral.
UAGUGGCGAACGGGUUAGUAACACGUGGGUAACAGACCAUCAACACAGGCAUAAUCCGUCGAAAGACGGACUAAUUCCUGAUGGUCCUCAAUUUCUUCGGGAGUUGAGGUAAAGAUUUGGAGCAAUCCAUUUUGGUUGAUGAAUGGCCCGCGGCCUAUCAGCUAGUUGGUGAGGUAAUGGCCCACCAAGGCAAUGACGGGUAGGCGGUGUGAGAGCAUGACCGCCAACAAUGGGACUGAGAUACGGCCCAUACUCCUACGGGAGGCAGCAGUCGAGAAUAUUGGUCAAUGGGGGAAACCCUGAACCAGCGACGCCGCGUGCUUGAAGAAGCCCUUCGGGGUGUAAAGAGCUUUUCUGGAGGAUGAAUCUUCGGAUGACAGUACUCCAGGAAUAAGGGGGUGCUAAUCACGUGCCAGCAGCCGCGGUAAUACGUGACCCCCAAGCGUUAUCCGGAUUUAUUGGGCGUAAAGAGUCUGUAGGCGGUCUGGAAAGUCUUUGGUUAAAGGCCCAGGGCUUAACCUUGGGAAUGCCAGAGAUACUGCCAGACUGGAGGGCGUUAGAGGCUGGAGGAACGGUCGGUGUAGGGGUGAAAUCCGUUGAUACCGACCGGAACCCUAAAAGCGAAGGCAUCCAGCUGGGGCGACCCUGACGCUGAGAGACGAAAGCGUGGGGAGCAAAAAGGAUUAGAUACCCCUUGUAGUCCACGCUGUAAACGAUGGACACUGGCUAUCUGAAGUGUCGACCCUUCAAGUGGCGAAGCUAACGCGUUAAGUGUCCCGCCUGGGAAGUACGGCGGCAACGCU